CAGUCGCCACGGGAAUACGUAGGGUGCGAGCGUUAAUCGGAAUUACUGGGCGUAAAGCGUGCGCAGGCGGUUGUGUAAGACAGGUGUGAAAUCCCCGGGCUUAACCUGGGAACUGCGCUUGUGACUGCACAGCUAGAGUAUGGCAGAGGGGGGUGGAAUUCCACGUGUAGCAGUGAAAUGCGUAGAGAUGUGGAGGAACACCGAUGGCGAAGGCAGCCCCCUGGGCCAAUACUGGCGCUGAGGCACGAAAGCGUGGGGAGCAAACAGGAUUAGAUACCCCCGUAGUCCCUGUCUCUUAUAC
RNAcentral lists this ribosomal RNA (301 nucleotides) under uncultured bacterium. RNAcentral's name for it is "partial 16S ribosomal RNA". It matches the Rfam family "Bacterial small subunit ribosomal RNA", at positions 509 to 807 of the family's 1533-position model. The record is from RNAcentral.